UAUCUAUGUCUAUGAAUGCACAUUGUGUGUGAUAUGUACAUAUGGAGCACACACAACACAUUCUUUCUUUUUUUCUUUCAUUCUCUAUAUGUUUGAGAUACACAUCGACAUACACAGAGCACAAUAGCUGCAAUAUAGCAGCAGCAGCAGCAGCAACAGCAACCAAAAGACCCUGAAACAACACAAAACCAUAUAUUCCUGCGAACCGUUGGAAAAUUCACUGUCGUAUUUGUACAUUUUUCAUAUCAAUGCAAAAUUUUCCUUCGAACCGACCAGUCAGUUCUUCCAAAACAACAAGAGCGAUCUCGAUGUUGUGCACGCGAGCACGACAGAAGAAAGAAGACGAACGAACGAGCGCCUGACACUGAAAAUCCAACCAAAACCAGAAAAAAAACAACCAACCAACCGAACAUAACUGAAAAUAGUGCAAUCCGUAUAAAUAAUAUUUUAUUCGAAGCAGGCCACUAGCGACGAGAGAAAGAGAGAAUAAAAAAAUGAACGAUUUCUGUAUAUAAUUAUUAUGUGUUCAAGUUUCUGAUAUAUUUGAAGCGCAAUUCAAGCCGAAACCGUGUAAAAACUAUAUUGCUGCCGCAAAUUGACCCGAUGUUGACUAUUAAUCACAAAACACAGUUAAUAAACAUUAACAGUCUCUCUCUCACUUUCGGUUCAGUGUGAAAAUAAUUUUUUACUUUUUUUUUAUUUGAGUUUAUCAUAUUUUCUUUUCUGUUUCUCAUACGACCGCAAAAAAAAAUAAUUUCAAAUUUUAUCAGAAAAUACGUCGUUGUUGUCAAAUCAACUGUACAUAGGAUCGGGUGAGUUGAACCAAAAAAAAAUAUCCAGUAGACAUUUAAACGAGACAGUACAAUUAUCCGUAAGCAAAUUUUCAUAUUUUUUAUAAAAAAAAAAAAAUAAUCGAAAAUCCAUUUAAAUCAAUUCAUAAUUAAAUGUACCUCAAAUUUCAUAGCAUUAUUUUGUUAUGAGUCGUUGUCUUUUCGGCAUUAUGCUAAUUUCAGUAAAAUAUCAGUCAAUACUUCAUCACAUUGUGCAAUUUGCGUUCUCAUACUAAACUAAAUACAAUUAUAUCUAAUAUACAACGAAUGUACAUAUAGCAUAUACCAGAGAGAGAAAUGACGCACUCACGAUCAAUUCGUGGAAAUAAAAGGACGGAAUGUUUCGGAAGAAUAAUAAAUAUUGUUUUUGGUUGUUGUUGUUGUUUCUGUCGUUUGUUUUACUUCAUCACUUUAAAUUGAAUUUCAAGUUGUUGGUUGGUUUUAUUUCUUCUCUCUGGAAAUGUUCAAUCGGGUUUUUUUUGUCUCUUCUGAAAAUGGUGCAAGAUAGAGACGUAGUGGUAAAUAAAUAGUAGUAAUUGUACAAUUGAAUCAAAACAGGCAAAAUAAUUGAAUUUGAGAGAAGAGACGAAAGCGAAAAAACGAGGCAAAAUAAUGAUUUCAGUUUGACGUGUAUGAAUGUGUGUGUGUGUGUGUGUGUGUGUGUGUCGAUUAUAGUGAGUCACACGAGCGAAAUUCACUCGACUCGAAAACACAAAAAUCGACAAACAUGUUUUCGGUCAUGAGCAGAAAACGAUGAUGAUGAUGAUUGAGUCAGAGUCAGAGAGGAAGAGGGUUAUUUCACCAUAUGAUGCAUUUUUUUCGGGUAAAUAUUAUCGUUUGGAAUUUCACUUGAAUUCCGGUGUGUCGAAUCGAAGUCGCAGUUUUUCGCUGUUUGUUGGCUUAAUUGAAAUCGCAUUCGCACUCGCAUAUGAAGGGAGAAAGAGAGAGAGAGAGGGGUUGUGUGUUGGCGAAUGAAAGAUGAUAUUGUCUUGUUUAGUAUUGAUGGAAAAAAAAAUGCCAUCACACACACACACACACGAACAUACUCACAUAUCGUAACUCGUCAUGGGCUCAAUUUGUUAACUGCGUAACAAUAAUUUGUACACCUCAUAUUUAUCAUUGUGGUUUUUGUUAUUGCUUGUGUAAUGUAUAUAUGUUUUUUGUUUCUUCAUUUUUAUUUUGUUUGCAAACUUUGCAUUGAAAAUUGAGCGACAUCUAGAAUUUUGAGAUAAGCAAGAAAGAGAGAGAGAGAGAGAGAGAGCGAGAAAGCGCGAAUAUGAGUGCCAAUGCGACAGAGAUUGCAUUCAAAUGAUAAUUAAUAAUGGAAGUAUUGUUUUCAUUGAUGACUCGUUCGGUUGUGUCAGAUGAUUCGUUACGGCUUAGAUAAAAAUGCAAAUGGAAAGAAAAUUAAAAAAAAUGGUAUGCCCUUCCUCUGUCCAACCGAGCCGAAUGAAUCAAUAAAGGUGUAAGCGAUUCAAAUACGUAGCAAUUUUCAAGAAAAAAACACAUUACAUGCACAAAGAGGGAAAGAGAAAGAAUCGGAACAAGAAAGAGAGGGAGACAGAGAGUGAAAAGGAAAAAAAACCACGAAAAUAUUAUAAGAUUUGUGAUACAUCUAUACAACAUCGACAUGUUGCAAAAAAUCCUCUGAUGCGAUGGCAAUACAUACAAGCCUGCACGGCUCACACACAGUGAGGAGCGCGCGCGACAUGGUCACAAAAAUCGUUUCGCUUCGUUCGGCAUUGCUAUUGUUGUUGUUAUUGUCGACGACAACAACGACAACGACGACGACGACGAUGAUGAUGAUGAUGGUGGUGUAUGCGUGUGUGUCUGUGUGCUAUGUGGCUCGUCCGUGUGCAUGUGUUUUUCUAGCAAACAACAGGAACUGAUUCAAGUUCACUGUCAAGGUCGCUAUCAGAGCGCACACGCAGACCCUGCAUUGCAGAACACAUGAAUAUAUGAAAACGAACACAAAUUAUAUAUUUUUCUCGAUUGUGUUCAACACAUUCGUGCGCUCGCUCGCUCUCACUCUAACGCGCGCGCUUCAACAUACACUUUGCAUAUAUUUAUAUAUACCCACCUAUAUAUGACGUAUAUGUAUACAAUGUGCUUGAAUAGUGUCCAAAACACUACGCAAUCAUCAUCUAUACACACAGAAGAAGAAGAGAAAAAAUAAUGGGCAGAAAUAUUGUGCAGCCAAGAAAUCAUUUGGAACAUAACAUUUCUCGGCGCGAAAACGACAAGUUCGGUGGUUCAACAACGAGACGACGACGACGGAGAAACAAAACACGUAGCGGCCGAGCAACGUAUAGAGGCGCAUUUAUUUUGUGGAGUCUCAAGUUCAAUAAAUGAAACGUAAUAAGCGUUUUACCUCACAAAACCCGAGACCGAUAUUCAAACACAGCACAAGAAUUAACAGAAUAAAAACCAAAAAAAAAGAGAAAAGAUUAAUAAUAAGAACACCCAAGCAGCGAAAGAGUGUAUAGCAAUUCGGUUGAUUUUUUUUCGGUUUCAUUUGUUUUGUUCAGUUUUAGUCGAAAGCAUAAAAUUCGAUUAAGAAAAGUUUCAAAUCGAAAUUCGUCUUGCGUGUACAGUCACAUAAUAAUUUAUUUAUACAGUAAUACUGUUGUUGUUAUUUUCGUUGCUGCUGCUGCCGUUGCUGCUGUUAUUGUUGUUGUUGUUGUUGGUUUUUCAUUCGGAGAUUCGAGAAAGACAGAGAUAGAAUGGAAAAAAAAGAAAGAGUGAACGCGAAAAAAACACAACAUCAGAGAGAAGAAAAAAAAACUGGCCAGUGUGUCUCUUUCUCCUGUAUCGACGACGAUUUUUUUUUGUUUGUUUGUGAUGUUACACAAAUAUAUACAGAAUAUAUUCCAAACGCACACCACAGCGACGACGACGUUUCAACGUUGUUGUUGUUUCCUUUGUAGAUAUUUUUACCAUAUAUUCCGAAAAAGUUAGCGGCGUAAUAUCUAGUUCGCGCAUAUGCUUACUGAAACAUUGGUGCAAAACAACUCGAUAAAUACGGACUACAUUUUCAAUUUGGUUCGAUUUUUUCUUUCCGUUCGAAAAGAGUGUUAUCGUCAAAAUGACCGAAAAUAUUUCAAAUAAAAUCAUUAAAUGUUUAAAUUCGUUUCCAAUUCAUGACGCAUUUCAUUGAAAUCGAUACAGAGAGAAGAAAUAUGUGUAAAAAAGCGAGCAAUUUGUUUGUUGGUUUUAUUUUGUUCAAUUGAAAAACAGAAAAUGCUUUUCACAUCGUUCAAGUUCAUUGAAAUUGGCUGACACUGUGAAUAAUUUCGCUCGCAUUUGUGUGUGCUUCGUUUUUCCCGAUGGUCGCGCGUUUUCCGUGAGCCGCAAUGACGGAAUUGAAGCAAUAGAGACCAGAAUGAACGAAAUAAAAACGCAGCAACAACAAAACGAACGACGUUCAAGUGGAAGAAACCAUUGUUUGUGACGAUGCCAAGCAGAUGUUAAUCUACGCUUAAUUUGAUCCUCUUCAAAAUUCGCUGAAAUUUUCUUAUUUUGCUAAAUAAAUCGAAUGAUUUUCUCGUUGAUUGUUGCACGGAUGAUUUUUUCGGGCACGCGAAAAGCGAUUUUUUUUCUAUUCAAAAUUCUAUAUCAAAUGAAAAUUUUCGUUUUUCUUCAUUUUUUAAAUGGAAAAAAAAAUUCGUUUUGAUUUUGAUGUGAUGCAUUUUUCGGCAAAAUAUGUGAACUAGAAUGGAUGGGUAUAGAAAGAAAAAUAUUUUCAUAUUGCACCAUUUUCAAAAGGGAUCAAGAGAAAAAGAGACAGAAUUGCGGUGAGGAAAUUCGAAAUUCAAUGGACCCCGUGAUGUAAAUUCAAUCGGACCGUUUUUUUCUGUUGUUAUUGUGUUCAUUGUUUUUUUUUUGCUGUUGUUGCGGUUUAAAAAUAUUCCAUCAAUCAAUCAUUUCAAGUGUAUUUAUAUUUAUGACUCAAAUGAAUCGGUAAAAUACUUGCUCACAGUUAUUUUGCAUAUAACAAGUGUGUCCAUCUAUACUUAGCUUUACAUGAAAGCACCGCGAGCGCGCAUCGCUAACGUCGUGUAUUCGUUCGGAUAAGUUUUUCAAAGUGCUUUUUUUGCAUUGAACGAUAAUUUUUUUUCUGCUGUUGUUUUGAUACAUCGUCGGAAAUAAACAUGCCACCGCAAGAGAAGGAAGGAACCAUCACAGAAUGGGAUGGAACGAGGUUGUGAAGGAAACAAAAAAAUAACAGAGUUUAACAGUUGUGUAAUCCGUUUGUACGUAAUCAACACAAUCAGAAAAGGACUGGCAGAUCCGGAAAAAUGAGACGCAGAGAGAAAGAAAAUACAUGGUGUUUGAAUCACUGGGGUACUCCCUGUGGUCGCUGUUUCCCCUGCCAAUUAGCACAAGUGAACACAGCUGGUGGUAUCUCAGUGGAUUGAACACACCAUUCGACUUGUGUUUGUGUGAAUUUUUCGAAUCAUCUCUCAUUUCUGACCAAUAUUUUAUGAUCAAAUGUAAGUAUUUUGAAAAUGGAUCCCACCACAAAUAUCUGCACACCCGAUGAAUACGGACACAAAAGAUUCCACUUCAGUUUCUUUCAUAUUCUUUGGGUAUGUAUUAAAUCUAUUUAGUAUCUACUUAAUUUACGUUAUGUAAAUAGAAUUUUUUUUUUUUUUUGAAAAAAAAAAGUUAGUUUUAAAAUCAAAGAAAAUGGCACAAUAUCGACAGUUGACGAAAGACUACAAACCUAAUGUCUUACAAUUCAAAUAUGGAGCAAAAAACAAAUGAGGAAACAACCCUUAAACUAAGCUUUUUGUUUGGAAAACCCAACAUUUUCGAGAAAAAAAAAAUCUGAAAUUUUCGAAGAGUUAAUUUCGAAACGAACAAAAUCAAUUUGAUUUGAAAGAAAAUACUUACGAAUUACAUGAAAAACUAACCAUUUUAAAAUGGAUACUAUGAAACCACUCAUUGUAAAUAGUCAAAAUUGAAUUUUAAAUUAAUAGAAUUUAUUUUUUUCAAACCUAUUUCAUCAUUGCAAAACCAUAAUAAUAAUAAAUUAAUAAUCGAUGUUUUCAGUAAUUAAUCUUGUGAGAAUAUUCUCGGGCUGAAUUCAUUGUAAUGCGCCAAGCGCAUACAUCAUUUCAAUUUCGGCCCCGAAUACGAUUUUCAAGGGUCAAAAGUUAAAGGUCAAAGUUAGUUACUCAUUUAUUUAUUUUGUUCUUGCUCAUGCCCAUGUGUAACGAUGAUUGUGUGUUCAAUGUUACGAAUCAGGCUUUGCAGUGAAAAUGCGAUUCGGGUGGAAAUUGCUCAAACCCAAAUCUCAUACGCUUCCACCAUAUAGGAAUAGCAAUUACAUGACCCACUUACAUAUUUCUGUAUUUCAAUUUCUAUUCAUCUCUCUCGCAACCGAAAACGCCGAAAAUGAAACCAAAUUGAAGCGAGCAAAAAAAUACACAUUAUUCAGAGAUUGACAAAACAGAAGGAAAAAAAACGGGCAGUUCUUCGUUUUAAAAUGUUACAAGUCAAAUUCCUUCUUCCCAAUUUUCUAAAAAUAACAACAACCGUAUUUUUCAAAUACACCGAAAUUUUCGCUGAAGUGCGCUCAAUGUUCUCAAUUGCACACGAAUAUUUAGUGUGAACGCGAAAAAGCAACGGCAAUAUGAGGAAAAAAACCACACACACAUACAUUGGAGUGUAUAUAGUUCGUUUGACGAAGUUUGAUCUAAUAUCAUAAUAUGCAAUUAAAAUUGAUUUCUCGUUAUUUUUGCGCGCGCUUUAUUGAAGUGACCGAAUGGAUUCGUUGUUUUUUUUUCUCUCUCUCGCAGUGUAAAAUGAUCACAUUUAUCUUGUACGCCUAAACAUCAACCAGUGAGCCGCUCGUUUUUUUAUUGCAUUUCAUUUACGUGUGUGUGUGUGUGUGUGUGUGCUGUUGAACAUAUGAUUCGAGAGUGAUGUACAGAUUGUACACUAGGGUGUUUCUGCCAUCAAAUAAUCAAGAAAUGGUAGUUCUGGAUUGAAAGAGUGAACAAUUCUGAGUCGAUUGCAUGUAUUUUUACUUUAAAAUAUUCAAAGAUGCCACUUCCCGAGAUCAAAACAGAAAAUCAUAGAAUUUUGAGGUUAUAUUUUUGUUCACUGAAAUAAAGCAAUAUUUUCGACUCAUCCACUUUCAAUCUCACUGCCAUUGGUAAAUUCACGAUGCAGAAUUUCAUUUUCAUGCAUAUUUCGUCGAAAAAAUCAAGGAAAUCGGUGAAAUAUUACACAUUUUCCAUCGCAUCUUUGACGGCAUUUUCGAUUGAAGAAAUAACACUAAUAGAAACUAUUUUUUCACCGGAAUUCAAUCAAUGCAGUUAAAACACACGAUAAAUUAUCUGAAUUUAUCAAAACAUUCGAUCGAACAAGCGCAGAAAGACCAAUUUGGAACAAACGAAAGAUGUAAACAAAAGCGAAUUGUCAUCACGAAAUCUGGGCUCAUUAGACAUUAUAAAGGAUUGCCAAUACACUUGCCCGAAUAAAUAACAACUAAUUCGCACAUAGUGAUUCGCGCAGUUGUGUUACAGUCUUGUCAAACAUCAAAACAAGCCCGAAUUUUACGAUGACAGCUCGUUUCUGUUUACAUUUUUCGUUCGCUCUAAAUUGGUCUUUCUGCAUUUGUUCGAUCGGAUGUUUUGAUGAAUUUAGAUAAUUUAUCGUGUGUUCUAACCGCAUUGAUUGAAUCCUUGUGAAAAAAAUAGUUUUAUUAGUGUUAUUUCUUUCAUUGAAAAUGCCGUCGAAGAUGCGAUGGAAAAUGUGUAAUAUUUCACCGAUUUCCUUGAUUUUUUCGACGAAAUAUGCAUGAAAAUGAAAUUCUGCAUCGUGAAUUUACCAAUGGCAGUGAGAUUGAAAGUGGAAGAGUCGAAAAUAUUGCUUUAUUCCAGUGAACCAAAAUAUAACCUCAAAAUUCUAUGAUUUUCUGUUUUGAUCCCGGGAAGUGGCAUCUUUGAUUAUUUUAAAGUAAAAAUACAUGCAAUCGACUCAAAAUGGUUCACUCUUUCAAUCCAGAACUACCAUUUCUUGAUUAUUUGAUGGCAAAAACACCCUAUUGUACACUCAUAAGACACCUUGAGACACACAACAAACAUCAACAUCCCCACAAACAGAAUGCACGCACCUCACAUCCGUCCGUCCGUUCGUACGUGUGAUGCACAUUUGGUUAAUUAAUGCGAUUUGAUGAACUGAAUUAAAUCACAGGAAUUCAAAACAACACCAACAGCAAAUGAACGGGUGCAACCAUUAAUCCUGUUUGUAAUAGCACACCAUUUGUUAAAAAAUAGUCGAUUUUUCACGUGGGCACACAACGUGUGUAUCUAUCGUUUAUCCUUGGGCGCAAUAAGAUGUGUCGCAAUUGUCCUGUAUUUCGACGACGUGGCACAUGACAAUCUCAAUCUCUCUCUCUCUUUCUUUCUCUCGUGGUCCCACUUUCAAGAGAUUUGGCAUGAGCCAAUAGCCCACAUUGAAUUCUUUUCAUUUGCUCAUCAUCAUACAGAGAGAUAACUAAAGAUUUCUUUUCGGUGGCUUUUUUUCAACGUUGUUGACGUUGUUGUCGUUCUCUCACUUCAGUCCAACCGUUGAAACAAAACAACUGCGCACAUUUUUUUUUCUGAACCAAACACUUUGUUCGGCUGAUUUCAAUUGACUUGAUUGUGAGAGUAAGCGGUUAUGGUGAAUAUUACGAAAGGAAUUUGUUCAACAGCAACCGGGGAAGAAAAAAAAACAUAUAGUCAACUUCGGUUGUGGGUGCAUUCAGUAAUCGGAAAUAUCAAGCAAUUUCGUUUUCAACGAAGUGUGUGCAAUCAAGCGUUUGAAAUAUUGCAUUAAUAAUUUGUUCAAUCGAUUUCGAACGCAUUUCUUGCCUCUCUAUUUUGCAUUGGGAAAAAAAACGCAAAAAAGUUGUAAUAGAAAACAGUAGAACUUUUCCCAACGAAAUGUUCAUACAGAAAAAAGUGAACUUUUCACGGUUUGGUGGAAAAGAAGUGUUUUGAAAGUGAAGAAGCUUACUACCUUCGAGACUAAUUCAGAGGUUCUUAUGAAAGGUUGAAACGGCUUGAAUGGCAACCCUAGAAAAUGUAAGAGCAAGAGCAUGAGAGACAGAGGGGGAGAGUGAGUGAGAAAGGUAGACAAAUGUGGAGAGAGAAGGGGCUACAUCUCAGAUCUCUAUUGUUGUAUGAAUGACGAUUGUUUUUUUUGGCUUGUGUGUGUAUAGUGAUAAUCAUACGAAUGAAUAUGAAUCGUGGCAAAUCAAAGGUUCAGCAGCGCGCUAGCUGUGUGUGUUUUUUUUUUCUUGCACACACUAAUCGUGGUCGAAGUAACGACGUUGCAUUUCAAGUCAUUUUCCCACUGACCAAUACACUUUGCAGUGUGUGCCACAUGCUUAAACGAAAAAGAAAAUGCAGCAACAAUAUAAGGCAACGCACAAUGUUUCACAUGCACAAUAUCGAAACUAUAUUCCUUCGUGAUGAUUAAAAUAUACAUUUGUGUAUCUUAUUUUAUAAUUGAAAUAGAAGAGCGAGAGAGCGAUAGAGAAAAAGCAAGAGAAUUGGUGAUUUUGUUUUUGUAUUUGAUUUGCGUUGCAACGGUUGAUGUGCAAGUGUGGGCUUGAAAUGUGUAUAUGGGUGCUGCUGCUGUUGUUGCUGCUGCACUUGUGUGUUUGAGAUGAGUGACGAGCAACUAGCGUUUGAAGCGUGUGAGCGAACAGGGCGAGCGUGUGCGGCAGCAGCAGCAGUGAGAUAUAGCAUUUGGAAUACACUGCACAUUUGUGUAAAAGUCCGCCAAUCUAUCCUCUCUCUCGCUCACUGAUUUACAGCACAUAUAGAUAGAUAGAGCUUGCAACUAAUAGUAAUUAGUUUGUAGUUUAGUAGGUUUGUGUGGUGUAGUACAUUUGGCUCACUCGAAAAAAUUUAUUUAUAAAUUUUACUUGUCUCUUUUUUUUUUCAUUAAGUUGUUGUUGUUAGUUUUGUUUUUUUUUCUUUUUUUUUCUAAAUUUCGAUUCGGCGAUUUGGUUGUGUGUAUGUUUCGACAACUUGUAUGUGUGUGUGUGUGUAUCCAAAUGGGUUCUGGUGUGUUGUCUCUCUAAUAUUUUUCGAUUUAAUCUCAGUGCGCGUAGUGCAAGCACUCGAAUCUAUUCCAUCGCAAUGGCCAUCGAAUCGUGUCGUUUCAUUCGUACACCGUUUUUUUUCUUCGUUCGCGAUCCCCCUCUUUUUUCGCGCACGAAAACCUCAAGUGCCGUUUGCCGUUGGCUGCUGCCUGACUUCGGCCUGACUCGACUGUGUGAGAAAUGCAAUCCGAGAAAUUAUUAUUGCCUUAAUGUUUUGUUCAAAACCACCGACAAGUUCGGUAAGAUAGUUUAUAGCCGACGACGACGCGCGAGAAAACAAUAAAACGCUAAAAUAAUAUCUUCGAUGAAAUCAAUAGCAUCUUAAUAUUAUUAAAAAAGAAGAAGUAGUAGUAGUUGAAUUUGAGAAGAAAAAAAACGGUACAAGUGCUUAAUUUGAGUGUGACACUUAAUCGUAGACACAACAUCGUUGCAUCGCUGUGCUAGCCCUAUUUUCAACCGUGAAUUUGGUUUGCGUGUAUCGAAUUGAUUAAAUUAAAUUAAUAAUUGCUUUAUUUGCCCACAUUUCGACUAAAAAUAUUUUUGGACGUAAAAAGAAGAGGAAUCGAGGGGAGAGAGAGAGAGAGAGAGAGAACGCGCGAAAUGGAGAGCGAAAAUAAACCAAAGGAAUUGUGAAAUUUUAACACUCCGUCACUUGACACGAAAUUUGAACUGGCGAGUGGAAAAGUGUGUUUGUUUGUUUUUUCCUAGGUAUAUCCAAGAGUCGCGAAUCAUCGAGCAAAUCCAAGAAGAAAACGACUCACCAAUCGUAAAUUCGUUGAGCCGUUUUGUGUUAAGUGAAUUUUUUUUUCUGUUGAAAAGAAUCUUAUUUAUAUAAUAAAUCCAUUGAGAGAUUAUCGCGGCUUCCAUUGGCUUAGACCCAUGAAAAUAAAAAUGCUUUCGAGAAAUUCUAUGAAGUCAUUGAAAAUGCCAUUGAUUUCGAGAUAAUUUUCAGAGAAAUUACGAUUUCUCUAGUAAAGAUUAAAUAAAAAAAUUAUCAAUGAAUUGAGCUAAUUUUGGUAUGCAAAUAUCCUCGCAAGCUAAACGGACAUUGAGAGCAGAAAAAUAAAACCGAAAACAAAGAUUAUCUCUCGUACGCAUUAUACUCUCUCGUACUCAUUUCAUUGACCAACUGAUUCGAUUAAUGAGAAUGGAGGUAAAACCAAUGAAAAGCCGGCAUUGAUAGACUUGUCUUUCACUCAAUGGCCAGUCAGCGAUUUCAGUUGUACUGAGCCUCAAAGUACAUUUCAAUUAACAAACUGUCAAACUCAUUUUGCGAAAUGAUCGCGUUGUCGAUUCAUGUCAAAAUGUAUGUGUGUGUGUGUGCGGCUUAUGUAAUUGCAAGAGGCACCAACAGCCUUUUUAAAAAAAAAUGUCUCGAAAUACUGCCGCGCACAUCCGUCUGAAAAUGCGUAUUUGACAGCCAUCACUCACCGAAAAAAAAAACCAAAUGAGAAGAGAGAAAGAAAGAGAAGAGAGGAAAAAAUUCUUAUGAUUACAACUAUUGUUAUGCAGUGUGACAUUUGACCUAAAUUUGCGCUUGAAAACAAUAUUCGUUUCACUUUCAAAUCGCAUGCAAAAUCGUCGAAAAAUAUAAACGCAGUGAACCAACAAACAAACAAACGAAAGAACGAACGAAUGAGAAAAAGGCAGAGAGAUCCACUUUGCAUACAUAAAUAGCGAACAUUAUAAAUUCUGCAUGAUAGAUCUAAUGAAGAAUUUGCGGUUGAUUGCUGCGCGCACUCCACGCUCAGCGCUCGCGCGCACCCUACAAACGCAACGAGAAGAAAAAAAUGUUUUUUUUUCUUCUUUCAAGUCUAUGCAUUAUAUGCAUAAUAAGCGAGACUUUCAAGAAUCGAUCGGAAGGAAAAGUGAAACACUAGUUCUUGCCAUGCAAGCAACGACAAUAACGACGACGGUAUACAGCCACGCUUUGACCAAAACUAGAUCAUAAUUUUUCAAAACACUCAUUUCAGAUCGAAAUCAAGCCACAACUCAAUUUUUCUCUAUAUCAGAGAGACGGCCGCUUUAAUCGCCUUUGAACAUAUUUGUACAACAUUUUGUUGUUGUCAUGUGCACAAGAUCGCAUUCAAGGUGAUUGGAGACGUUUGCAAAUCAUAAAAGUAUAUUGACGGUAUGUCGUCGGAAUUAGGGUUGAGCUAAAUCGGUGAGGAAAGUGUUUGAGAGUUGGGUGUCACUUUGGCAGGUAUCUGGGACUGUAUUCAUGAUAAUCGAAUGCAAAAUUGAGUGAGAAAAGAAUAAGAAAAAAACCUUGAUAUAAAUUCCUACACAUUCGAUGGGUAUAUAUACAUCUGAGUGUGUGUGUGUGUGUUGGUUUUGUUGUUGCUAAAUUGCAUUGCAUCAUAUAAAAAUUGGUUGCCACUGCCGAAAUAAGAAGCGGAUUCUCAUUGGGCUGCAAACUCGAUUUCUCGGUAAUCCAAUCGGUAAUUUCAAAAAGCUAUUUCGAUCGACUAAUAGUUCUUCGUAACACACCGAAAAUCGUCUCGAAGUUCAUACCGCUCGCUCACUCUAACCUACGUCGAUCAACAAAAAGAGAGCUAAAAAAAGCUCGAAGGCGUGGUGUAUAUGAUCUGUAGGCAUGCAAUUGGCAUAAUUUUGCAAAUAUCUAUGUGAUCAUAGUGAAUUUUUUUUUCUGAAGGUAAACAUAACUAACUAUGCAAACCCAUCUAUCCACUCAAAAACCUCACUUAAAAUGAUACUUUGAAUUGUAUUCGUUGUAGAUAUUUGUUGGUUAUUGUUGUUGGUACUGUUGCCGCUGUGCAUACACCUCAACACCAUCCAACUGUCAUCGCAACCUAAAACGCAAUGCUUUCUUAUGCAAGACAUUUUUUCUUCUUUGACUUUUAUACAUAGUACACAUUGCACAUUGCACAUUUUGCAUUAAAUAUUUUCAAAUCGAAUUCCGUUGUUUAGCUAUUCAGCUGACUCGAAAUAAGAAUCACAAACAUAAUUGACGAUGAGUUGUAAUUUUUGCAAAACACCAAUCGAUUUGAUUUCAUUUUGCUGAAGUGAAAUUCUAAUGAAAGAAAAAUUGGCUCUUUUGCUUCGAAACUAAUAUAAAACUGCAUUGAAUGGAUGAGAAAAAAAAUUAGAGAGGAAAUGGAUUGGUUAAAAUAUUCAAAACUUUAUUGCGGUAAAAAGUGUUUCGUUGCAGCAAAGAAACUCUCCCUUGUGGAAGGGAAAGAGAGAAAAGCGCAAAAAAGGACUUUAAACGUCCUUGUGAGUAAAAAAAAAAGAGAGCAAAGGGCCGGUUGGCACGUGGACUUUCUACGUCGCCUAACAGCACCAGUUGUGCGGUUGAGCCAAAAAGAAUUUCGGAUUAUGGUGCAAGAUACCACGUCGAUUGCGCGUGCGUGCAUGCGCGUGCAAGCAACCACACUGUGUCGGCUCUCAAGGGGUUCCGUGCUGAUGAUUUCGUGUGAUUCGUAUCGAAGAGAAAACGUUUUCAUUUGAUGCGAGAGAUGAUGUUUUUCUCCAAAGAUGCAUUAAUCAAACAGUGUUUGAUCGUGCUCGCACCCGCUCAAUUGCCUUUGCUCGCGUUAUUCUAUUCAUUUCGUGGUUGUUGUUGUUUUAUUUUCGUUAAUAUUUUUCUGUUAGUUUCAUUCAAAUCAACACACAAUUUCAAUAAUGAACAUUAAUAGAUUUUUUUUUUCGCCUUUGAAAAUGGCGCGUUGCAUGCGCGCACAUACUGCGCAAACAGCGCAUGUAUAACAUUAAAACCAUAAUUAAAUAGGGCGUAAAGUAGUAGUAACAUGAAUCUAAAAAGAGAGAUUCGACCAAAGAAUGCAUUCAACUUACACGCGCAUGCAUUCUACGCGAAUUAGGUAAUGAAAAGCAAAAAAAAAACUCAUACACACAUCGCCAACAAACACACUACACUCAAGCUCAAUAAAAUAAAAAAAAAAUAAUGAAAGAAGAAGAAGAAAAAAACUUUGAAUUCUCAUUCGACUUUUGUCGAAACGAAAGCCAAUGAAAGCAAUAAAAAACAAUUUCAUGAAAGGUCUAAACUUUAUCGAGCCUCUCAAUUGUAACAGUCACUUUUUAUAAACCGUUUUUCUAGCAACAACAACAAUACAAAUUACAAACUCACAAAAACCACCACUAAAACAAAUCAAAAA
Molecule: long non-coding RNA, 14075 nt
Organism: Sitodiplosis mosellana (orange wheat blossom midge)
Lineage: Eukaryota; Metazoa; Arthropoda; Insecta; Diptera; Cecidomyiidae
Exons: 2
Source: RefSeq, a predicted model, not a curated record